This 436-nucleotide ribosomal RNA is filed under the name Appasus japonicus. RNAcentral describes it as "partial 16S ribosomal RNA". It matches the Rfam family "Bacterial large subunit ribosomal RNA", at positions 1819 to 2523 of the family's 2925-position model. Lineage: Eukaryota; Metazoa; Arthropoda; Insecta; Hemiptera; Belostomatidae. The record is from RNAcentral.
GUCCUUUUGAUUUUUAUAUAAGGUCUGACCUGCCCUAUGAAUAUUUAAAUGGCCGCGGUAUACUAACCGUGCAAAGGUAGCAUAGUCAUUUGUCUCUUAAUUGGAGGCUUGAAUGAAGGGUUGGACGAGAUAUAAGCUUUCUUUGUUAUAUUUUAUUGAAUUUGACUUUUGAGUUAAAAGGCUUAAAUUUUUUUAUAGGACGAGAAGACCCUAUAGAAUUUUAUAUAUUUGUAUAAUUGAUUUAUUUAUUUAUUAUUUAAUUUCUUGUUUAAAUAUAUUUUGUUGGGGCGAUGGGAAGAUUUUAAUAACUCUUUUUUGUUUUGAUCAUUGAUUCAUGUUUUAUUCUGAUCCUUUUUUAGAGAUUAUAAGAUUAAAUUACCUUAGGGAUAACAGCGUAAUUCUUUUGGAGAGUUCUUAUCGAUAAAAGAGUUUGCGA